This 497-nucleotide ribosomal RNA is filed under the name uncultured bacterium. Its description in RNAcentral is "partial 16S ribosomal RNA". It matches the Rfam family "Bacterial small subunit ribosomal RNA", at positions 28 to 507 of the family's 1533-position model. The record is from RNAcentral.
GAUGAACGCUGGCGGCGUGCCUAAUACAUGCAAGUCGAGCGAACAGACGAGGAGCUUGCUCCUCUGACGUUAGCGGCGGACGGGUGAGUAACACGUGGAUAACCUACCUAUAAGACUGGGAUAACUUCGGGAAACCGGAGCUAAUACCGGAUAAUAUAUUGAACCGCAUGGUUCAAUAGUGAAAGACGGUUUUGCUGUCACUUAUAGAUGGAUCCGCGCCGCAUUAGCUAGUUGGUAAGGUAACGGCUUACCAAGGCGACGAUGCGUAGCCGACCUGAGAGGGUGCUCGGCCACACUGGAACUGAGACACGGUCCAGACUCCUACGGGAGGCAGCAGUAGGGAAUCUUCCGCAAUGGGCGAAAGCCUGACGGAGCAACGCCGCGUGAGUGAUGAAGGUCUUCGGAUCGUAAAACUCUGUUAUUAGGGAAGAACAAAUGUGUAAGUAACUAUGCACGUCUUGACGGUACCUAAUCAGAAAGCCACGGCUAACUACGUG